Long non-coding RNA from Ixodes scapularis (black-legged tick), 989 nucleotides. RefSeq lists it as uncharacterized. The record is from RefSeq and is a predicted model, not a curated record. Lineage: Eukaryota; Metazoa; Arthropoda; Arachnida; Ixodida; Ixodidae. The transcript is spliced from 2 exons.
GAUCAAGCGUAUGGCAGGCAUGAAGGAGACUCAGCUGAGCGCCGAAAUCGAGCUGCUCCAGACGGAUGCCAAGAAGAAAAUGGAACAGACCCCCAAUUUCCAUGAACUUUGAGGUUCCCUUUGCUCCUUCUGGGCUCAAGGUGCGCUACCUCAAGGUGUUUGAGUCCAAGCUAAACUACAGCGACCACGACGUCAUCAAAUGGGUGCGCUACAUCGGCCGGAGUGGCCUCUACGAGACUCGCUGCUAGCCUCCCCACCGUCGGAGCUCCCCUUCCUUCUCCUCCUCCUCCCCCCACUGUCCACUAGCUAACUCUGUCGAGCAUUCCCCAGAGGCCAAUCCGGUGCACCCACCGAGAGUUUGACUGUCGGUGAGGUCUUGCCAGGGUGGCGUCUGUGCACCAACCGCUUCCCUGUGGGCUCGUUAAUUUAUUCGCCCCGUCCGGACCCUUCCUUCGCCCCUUUCGACUUGCAGACUGGUGGGCUUAUUUGGGCGUUUGCUCGUGUCUUUCCACUCUAACCUACAUCGGCUGCCAGUCUAUUUCUUUCCUCGUUUUUCGGUUGUUUUUCUUCGAGCUGCUCCUGUGAUUUCUUGGCCUGUUCUUCUUUUAUUCGAGGCCUUAUUUCUUUUAUUUUUUGUGUGGCUUUCCCUUUUUUUUCUAUAUAUUUGUUUAAAUCUCCUGUUGAAGACUCGAAAGACCACACCCGUUGGGACAUGCGCCAUAUUCUCCGGGGAGGCUCUUGCUGUUCAUUAUUCGUCUGCUAGUGGUGUACCCUCCAGUAUCGAGACGAAAUAAAAAAAGGGGUAGUCUGCACUUAGACCGGGCGGGGCUGCGACAUCGAACCGUUGGUGUGCAGCGUCCCCCGGCAGUGCGACUGCCACUGCAGCCACGUUGUGACGAAUGCUUUGGUGUUGUCCCACAAGCAUGAGAAGUUUCACAGGCAUUAUGGCACGUCGAGUGCGCGAAAUAAAAAUGUAUGUUAACAUUGUU